Molecule: ribosomal RNA, 408 nt
Filed under: uncultured bacterium
Lineage: Bacteria
Description: partial 16S ribosomal RNA
Rfam family: Bacterial small subunit ribosomal RNA
Source: RNAcentral
GACGAACGCUGGCGGCGUGCUUAACACAUGCAAGUCGAACGGAGUGGCGAACGGGUGAGUAUUACGUGAGUAACCUGUUCCCAACUGGGGGAUACGCCUGGGAAACUGGGUCUAAUACUGUAUAGUUGGGGCUGGGUUCGCGGCCUAUCAGCUGGUUGGUGGGGUGAUGGCCUACCAGGGCGGUGACGGGUAGCCGGCCUGAGAGGGUGGUCGGCGACAUUGGGACGUAGAUACGGACCAGAGGCCUACGGGAGGCAGCAGAGGGGGAUAUUGCGCAAUGGGCGCAAACCUGAUGCAGCGACGCGGCGUGUAUGAAGGAGGCCUUCGGGUUGUAAAGUACUUUCAGCGAGGGGGCGUUACUCGCAGAAGAAGCACCGGCUAACUCCGUGCCAGCAGCCGCGGUAAUAC